AUUGAACGCUGGCGGCAUGCCUAACACAUGCAAGUCGAACGGCAGCAUGAGUAGGGGUAACCUUACUUGAUGGCGAGUGGUGGACGGGUGAGUAAUAUGUAGGAAUCUACCUAGAGGAAGGGGAUAACUUGGGGAAACCCAAGCUAAUACCAUAUAAGCCCUACGGGGGAAAGCAGGGGAUCGUAAGACCUUGCGCCUUA
RNAcentral lists this ribosomal RNA (200 nucleotides) under uncultured bacterium. RNAcentral's name for it is "partial 16S ribosomal RNA". It matches the Rfam family "Bacterial small subunit ribosomal RNA", at positions 30 to 222 of the family's 1533-position model. The record is from RNAcentral.